UCCUAAAGUAUCCUAUGAUGAAUUUAAUCAGGCCCUACUGACUUAAAUACCUCUAACUUAUCUAAGUAUUCUUUAACCUAUUCUUUCCCUAUUUUGGCUUGAGUUCCUUCCUCUUUGUUGUUAAUAUGAAUAUGAAUUGGGUCACCAUUAAUCUUUUUAGUGAAGACUGAAGCAAAAUAGGCAUUAAACUCCACAGCCUCAGGUAGGCCUGAGUGUAUGGCAAGGCAUAUAGUACAUUUAGCAAAGAUGGGGAGAAACUAAUUUCCAAGACUUUUUUUUUUUCUGUGUUUAGUUAAUUUAAAUAGACUGAUGAAGGAAUGAGAGAAGAGUGCAAGGUGUAUUGGGAAGAUGAUGUAGGUGUAUGAUCUGUAGGUUUAGUCCUGUUUUUGCCCUGCUUUAAUAUGUUAUUAACACUGUUCUAUAGCUUUUGUAAUGAAUUUAGACCCCAGAAUAGAUAAAGCAAACACAUUUGAAUAGAUAAAUUACAUAAAGUAGAAAGUACGAAGCCCCUCAGAGAAAAUCAGUUGCCUUGUGUAUCAAUCUCCAGUUCUUGUAUAGAUGGGAAUCAGAAUGUUCAUUUUUGGAGAUGUGGCUGCAGAGGGCUUUAUAUAGAUUGGAGCUGCAGCUAAUCUAAACAUUAAGUGACCUCUAUAUAAUAAUCCUAAAGGGGAAUUGAAAUUUCCUUUCAACUAUGUUGCUUUGAGAUAUUAACAGUGAACAUGUAUAAAGUUAAAUUACAAACGCAUAUAAAAACACAAUUAUAUUAACUUUGUUCAUCCUUCACUUAUUUACCAAAAGUGAGCUAAGUUUAGGCUUCGAAAGUUCUGGAUUUCUUGCUACAGAAGAUAGUACCAUUAAUGCUUAAAAUGGAGUGAGGAAUGCAACUCAAUGAUCUAAUCUGCUAUGGACAUUAGUGAUAUUAUAGGUAGGAGAAGAAACACAAUUCUUAGAGCCUGAAUUCAGAUUCUGGUAAAAA
This is a long non-coding RNA of Dermochelys coriacea (leatherback sea turtle), 976 nucleotides long. RefSeq lists it as uncharacterized. The record is from RefSeq and is a predicted model, not a curated record. NCBI's taxonomy places the organism in Eukaryota, Metazoa, Chordata, Testudines, Dermochelyidae. The transcript is spliced from 2 exons.